CUUACGUCUAUUUUCACAAGCCGCUACGUAAAAUUAAUUCGCACGUUUUUCAAAGGUCUGAAGAUGACCUGGUUCAAUUUUUGUAAAAAUCGGAGCAACAUCCUAGGAGGAGUUCGAAAAAGUAAAAGUGAAUCCCAAUUCGCUUUACUUGUGCGCUAUUCUGUGACAUUUUUAAAUAUAGCACAAAUGGAUUGUUCACAUUGAAAAUUCCAAAAAGAAAAAGUACACUUUAAAUACCUGGAUGAUGCACUAAAUUAACGGAAAAAAACAAAGUGUGGAAUGUUGGACACUUCAUGCACUCACUGUCGCAGCUUUAAUUACGUAGCGGAGGGGGAGAAGGUAUCAGACUCCGAUGUUAAAUGACAAAAUAACCUUAUACAAUUCGUGCACUACAUGGAUGAAUACAUAGUACAUAGUAUAUAAGUGCAUAGUGUAUAGUGCGUCAUUUGGGAUGCAACUUCAAAAUAACGGGAAAAGUUAGCCCAUUUAUGGUUAAAAAUUAUUAGCACAAAUAUAAGUGCAGGUUUGGACAGUUGGUGGCGCUAGAGGGAUUGAGUAAGAGACUCUAAAUUUGCCAUGGUGACAGUUCAGACUGGCCACUGUAAGUGUGCCAAAUUUUAUAACUUUCCCGCAAGCAGUUCUAUGGGCUGCCAUAGACUUCCAGAGCAGAAGAGGAAAAAGAACGCUAACAGAUACAAUAGGUGCCUAUAUACGCACCUUCAGUGCUUGACCCCUAAAUAUACAGUGUAUAUAGUGCACUACUAUUCUAUUCUAUUCAAUCCUGUUUGCUGUGUUUGAGUCUGCAGCUGUCACAGAGACUCUCAGGACAUCUGUUCGAGUGAUAUCUGUCAGCUCUCGUGCAUGUUUGUGGUUUCGGCAGUGACCUCGUGACCCCUGGCGUGACCUGUCUGCUCCACUGUGUGUUUCCACGAUCACUCACCUGGAAGUGAACGCAGCCGUCGGCAGCAGAGAGGGACGGUGCUCAGGUCAAACACUCUGCUUUUACAGGCUAAUUGACACAAACAUGCUCUUUCGGACAGGACCAGUUCUCACUGAGGAUGUUUUAGACACUCUUUGUGAGUGUCUGAAUCGAACAGCUCUGCAAAACGUACAAACUCGCAGCAGAGGACUGACUUUUGAUGUGAUCCGCGGAACCAGAGCUUGGGUUCAGGGAAACAUUUGUCUGCAAUCGUUUCCGGAUCUGAAAGUAAAAGCUAACUUUUAAUGAACUGAUUUGGCGCUCAAAACAGGCCGGGUGUUCAGAUUUGAUCCUGUGAAACACAAAUGCCAAACAACUGGAGCUUUUCCAGCAUGAUUCACAUGAUAUCCUUGUUUAAUCGAAUGCUUUUAGAAAAUGUUUGAUAAAUAUUUAUAUUCCCAUAGUGUACCUUAAACAUUUAAGGACCAAAAUGAUUCAAUUAAUCUCACUGCAUUUGCAUGGGUAAAAUUUUCAUCACACCAAGCGAGUCUGUGGGGAAAAAAUGCAAAGAAAAUCACUAAAAAAUUCUUUGGGAAAUUUUUGGUUAUUUUGUGUUUUAUUACAGUUUUAUCAAAGCUAUAAGCCCCAAGAAACGUGGUUUACAUUGAAUUUAUAACAGCUAAGGAGCAUGAUGUGGAGCUGUAAAUUUUUAUGCUUUUAUAAAACAGUUACUACACAAUACAAAAAAUUAAAUUAAGCAAGUGACUAAUGCUUUGACUAGCGCUGUCAUUGUCAGCAGGGCACAGGAAAACCCAUUAAAUGUUAAAAGGACAAGAUCACAGUGGACAUUCAAAUGGGUUGUUUAUUAUGAACAUAGGACUGACCUGAAGGAAAAUGCUAAAGUGGGUCCCCUGUUAAAAAUCGCGUUCCAGAGUGUAAAAUCUUCAGUUUUUGGCUGGGUUCCCCUGGUAAAAUUUGCAUUCCAGGAACUAAAUAUCAUGUUAUUUGGGUUCGUUUCAACCCGACAUGAAAAACAACAAGCGGCAACAGUGUAAAA
Molecule: long non-coding RNA, 1976 nt
Organism: Megalobrama amblycephala (Wuchang bream)
Lineage: Eukaryota; Metazoa; Chordata; Actinopteri; Cypriniformes; Xenocyprididae
Exons: 3
Source: RefSeq, a predicted model, not a curated record